UACAUUUGCCCUUUUCCAGUCUGCUGGAAUCUCUCCCAUCUUCCAUGACUUUUCAACUAUAAUAACCAAAGUAAAACUAGCCCAUUGGGUCUGUGAGCAGACAUCAGCGAUAAAGGGGUGCAGGAUCCAGAAAAGAGAAGCCAGUAGUGAACACUGACCGUGGACAACAGAUGAAACAGACAGACGAACUAUUGCAAGAAGGUGUGGAUACAACAGUACAUUGAGAGCCGAGAAGGAAGGACUGUGCUGGAGUACUAAUUCUGAACAUGGCACUAGGUCUUUCAUGAACCCAAGGAGCUGAUAUAUUUCCAGAAACCCACCCCAUGGUACAUGCUCAGAUGGGAAGGGCUUGAACCACCCAACUAGAAGCAGAACACAGACAGAUGUUUUCCUCAGGUGCUACCCCAGACGAUACUGCCAGGACCGCAAUUCAUUGUGCAGCUUGUGCUGACGGCGGCCUCACCGUACCCUGCACCACUUGCU
Mauremys reevesii (Reeves's turtle) is the source of this 483-nucleotide long non-coding RNA. RefSeq lists it as uncharacterized. Lineage: Eukaryota; Metazoa; Chordata; Testudines; Geoemydidae. The record is from RefSeq and is a predicted model, not a curated record. The transcript is spliced from 4 exons.